Non-coding RNA from Dipodomys ordii (Ord's kangaroo rat), 70 nucleotides. NCBI's taxonomy places the organism in Eukaryota, Metazoa, Chordata, Mammalia, Rodentia, Heteromyidae. The record is from Rfam.
GGGAAGGUGGCUCAGUGGUAGAGUGCUUGCCUUGAAUGCAUGCGGCCCUAGGUUCAAUUCCUCAGUACCA